Lynx canadensis (Canada lynx) is the source of this 338-nucleotide long non-coding RNA. RefSeq lists it as uncharacterized. NCBI's taxonomy places the organism in Eukaryota, Metazoa, Chordata, Mammalia, Carnivora, Felidae. The transcript is spliced from 2 exons. The record is from RefSeq and is a predicted model, not a curated record.
GGCCUCCCUACCUCUAAAGGCCUCCAGUCUGCAGUUCCAGCUCCAGAAAACGUGCCAAGAAGAGAGCUCAGGACCCUGGAGCGGAACACUGGAACACUGGAAGGGAGGGAGACUCCAGCUCAGACAACGGGGUGGGGGUGAAGGAACGGGUUAAGUUUUCUCUUUCUUAUUCUAAAGAAAUAAAGAUGAGAACCAGUAUGCUUGUCUUUCAACUUUAUUGGAAUUCGAGACUAGGGGGAGGGAUGGGGCGAGAGGCACUAUCUCACUUAAGACCCAUAAGUCCUUACACAUGGUUUCAAGGUAGAGGAACUGAGGGGAUAAGAAAAAAAAAAAAAAAA